CCUACGGGAGGCAGCAGUAGGGAAUCUUCCGCAAUGGGCGAAAGCCUGACGGAGCAACGCCGCGUGAGUGAUGAAGGUCUUCGGAUCGUAAAACUCUGUUAUCAGGGAAGAACAAAUGUGUAAGUAACUGUGCACAUCUUGACGGUACCUGAUCAGAAAGCCACGGCUAACUACGUGCCAGCAGCCGCGGUAAUACGUAGGUGGCAAGCGUUAUCCGGAAUUAUUGGGCGUAAAGCGCGCGUAGGCGGCUUUUUAAGUCUGAUGUGAAAGCCCACGGCUCGACCGUGGAGGGUCAUUGGAAACUGGAAAACUUGAGUGCAGAAGAGGAAAGUGGAAUUCCAUGUGUAGCGGUGAAAUGCGCAGAGAUAUGGAGGAACACCAGUGGCGAAGGCGACUUUCUGGUCUGUAACUGACGCUGAUGUGCGAAAGCGUGGGGAUCAAACAGGAUUAGAUACCCUGUAGUCCACGCCGUAAACGAUGAGUGCUAAGUGUUAGGGGGUUUCCGCCCCUUAGUGCUGCAGCUAACGCAUUAAGCACUCCGCCUGGGGAGUACGACCGCAAGGU
This 564-nucleotide ribosomal RNA is filed under the name uncultured Staphylococcus sp. RNAcentral describes it as "bacterial SSU rRNA". It matches the Rfam family "Bacterial small subunit ribosomal RNA", at positions 338 to 894 of the family's 1533-position model. Lineage: Bacteria; Bacillati; Bacillota; Bacilli; Caryophanales; Staphylococcaceae. The record is from RNAcentral.